UUAUUGGAGAGUUUGAUCCUGGCUCAGGAUGAACGCUGGCGGCGUGCCUAAUACAUGCAAGUCGAGCGAAUGGAUUAAGAGCUUGCUCUUAUGAAGUUAGCGGCGGACGGGUGAGUAACACGUGGGUAACCUGCCCAUAAGACUGGGAUAACUCCGGGAAACCGGGGCUAAUACUGGAUAAUAUUUUGGACCUCAUGGUUCAAAAUUGAAAGGCGGCUUCGGCUGUCACUUAUGGAUGGACCCGCGUCGCAUUAGCUAGUUGGUGAGGUAACGGCUCACCAAGGCAACGAUGCGUAGCCGACCUGAGAGGGUGAUCGGCCACACUGGGA
Molecule: ribosomal RNA, 329 nt
Filed under: Bacillus paranthracis
Lineage: Bacteria; Bacillati; Bacillota; Bacilli; Caryophanales; Bacillaceae
Description: bacterial SSU rRNA
Rfam family: Bacterial small subunit ribosomal RNA
Source: RNAcentral